RNAcentral lists this ribosomal RNA (501 nucleotides) under uncultured bacterium. RNAcentral describes it as "bacterial SSU rRNA". It matches the Rfam family "Bacterial small subunit ribosomal RNA", at positions 28 to 526 of the family's 1533-position model. The record is from RNAcentral.
GAUGAACGCUGGCGGCGUGCCUAAUACAUGCAAGUCGAACGCGAUAGUUUACUAUCGAGUGGCGAACGGGUGAGUAAUACAUAAGUAACCUGCCCUAGACAGGGGGAUAACUAUUGGAAACGAUAGCUAACACCGCAUAGGUAUGGAUAACACAUGUUGUCGAUAUGAAAAGAGCUCCGGCUCUGGUCAAGGAUGGACUUAUGGCGCAUUAGCUAGUUGGUAAGGUAACGGCUUACCAAGGCGACGAUGCGUAGCCGACCUGAGAGGGUGACCGGCCACACUGGGACUGAGACACGGCCCAGACUCCUACGGGAGGCAGCAGUAGGGAAUUUUCGGCAAUGGACGAAAGUCUGACCGAGCAACGCCGCGUGAAGGAAGAAGGUUUUCGGAUUGUAAACUUCUGUUAUAAAGGAAGAACGGUAUAUGUAGGGAAUGACAUAUAAGUGACGGUACUUUAUGAGAAAGCCACGGCUAACUACGUGCCAGCCGCCGCCGUAACAC